This 377-nucleotide ribosomal RNA is filed under the name uncultured bacterium. RNAcentral describes it as "bacterial SSU rRNA". It matches the Rfam family "Bacterial small subunit ribosomal RNA", at positions 523 to 898 of the family's 1533-position model. The record is from RNAcentral.
AUACGUAGGGGGCGAGCGUUGUCCGGAAUUACUGGGCGUAAAGGGCGUGUAGGCGGCCUGUUAAGUCAGGCGUGAAAACCCCGGGCUUAACCUGGGGACUGCGUUUGAAACUGGCGGGCUUGAGGGCAGGAGAGGAAAGUGGAAUUCCCGGUGUAGCGGUGAUAUGCGUAGAUACCGGGAGGAACACCAGUGGCGAAGGCGGCUUUCUGGACUGCACCUGACGCUGAGGCGCGAAAGCCAGGGGAGCGAACGGGAUUAGAUACCCCGGUAGUCCUGGCCGUAAACGAUGGGUACUAGGUGUGGGAGGUAUCGACUCCUUCCGUGCCGGAGUUAACGCAAUAAGUGUCCCGCCUGGGGAGUACGGUCGCAAGACUGAA